This 440-nucleotide ribosomal RNA is filed under the name uncultured bacterium. Its description in RNAcentral is "partial 16S ribosomal RNA". It matches the Rfam family "Bacterial small subunit ribosomal RNA", at positions 338 to 795 of the family's 1533-position model. The record is from RNAcentral.
CCUACGGGUGACAGCAGUGGGGAAUAUUGGACAAUGGGGGAAACCCUGAUCCAGCGACGCCGCGUGAGUGAAGAAGUAUUUCGGUACGUAAAGCUCUAUCAGCAGGAAAGAAAAUGACGGUACCUGACUAAGAAGCCCCGGCUACCUAAGUGCCAGCAGCCGCGGUCAUACGUAGGGGGCAAGCGUUAGCCGGAUUUACUGGGUGGAAAGGGAGCGUAGACGGCAGCGCAAGUCUUGAGUGAAAUGCCGGGGCCCAACCCCGGAACUGCUCUGGAAACUGUGAAGCUGGAGUGCAGGAGAGGUAAGCGGAAUUCCUGGUGUAGCGGUGAAAUUCGUAGAUAUCAGGAGGAACACCGGCGGCGAAGGCGGCUUACUGGACUGUAACUGACGUUGAGGCUCGAAGGCGUGGGGAGCAAACAGGAUUAGAUACCCCUGUAGUC